UGGCUGUCUCUUGAUCCCCGCUCCUCUUUUUUCUUGCCUUUUUAAUUCUUUGUGGUUACUGUCAGAAUUUUAUAAGCAAGCCAUUUGAACUACCAAUAUAUCUCUUUAAUUAAGCAUUGGUAGUGCUUUUGUGAAUUUUCAAGAUAGAUCAAAACUGCUACUAUUUGGCAAUCAAAUUUAUGCUCACUUGUUUGGUUUUCGUUACUCUUUGACUAUGAUGAUGAUUAAGGAGGCAAAC
Molecule: long non-coding RNA, 238 nt
Filed under: Nicotiana benthamiana
Lineage: Eukaryota; Viridiplantae; Streptophyta; Magnoliopsida; Solanales; Solanaceae
Description: long non-coding RNA (NBEN_LNC037377)
Source: RNAcentral